CAUCCAGGUAAUGAACACACCCAAGACAUGCAUUCAAACACCCUCAAAAAAAGCAAAACUAAAUGUUAAAAAUCAAAGACACAUUUGCAGAAAGCCCAUGGUCUUUAGGAAAACCUGUCUGAAACAGUGCUGGGAAGAUAGUUUUCUUUCUCCCCCGUCCUUUUCAAAUAUAUUUAUUUGUCUCAUGCAGAACCACCUGGCACCCCUCUCAGUUUGUCAGGUUGAUGCCUUUUUGGGCUACCUGAAAACAGAGCCCAGACAAAAUUAAGAGAAUAAAAAGUGAUUACAUUAUUGAAGGGCCUUCAGGUACAUUUUGGGCAGACAAAGCCCCCCAGGGGCUACAUCCAAAAAUGGACCAUGGGCCAUGGGUUUGCACACUUCUGUAAGUUUGGUGCAUUUGCAGAUUGGGGGUUAAUCUGUUCCAAUCCCAGCUUCAGCUAAUGAAGUCAUUUAGCCCAAGUUUGCUGCCCCCAACUCGCUUUUAUCUACAUUUCUGGCCCUGGGGCUGUGAGGUGCCCCUGACUGCCAGGCCUGGAGAGGAAUUGCCCAAAACGGGGCAGCAGCAGCUGACACUGAGUAUGGAGUUCAGAGUUACACACUCAAGAACUGCAGGACCACAAAUGUAUGGAAAACACAGAAUUAAUUUCCUAAGGCAUCAGGGUGUCUCAUCAGUCAGAGCCACAGGGAUGCAGAGCAGCACCCAGGCAAGAUCCUCUGGCUGUAAUCAACUCCAGCAUCAUCCCAGGGGUGCAGACAGAGCUCUGGCAGGUCUGCAGCCCUGUGGCAGGGUGGCCCUGUUGACAGCAGGGCUCUCCCAGGUGUGAGAAACAGCUACUCACUCCUCAUACAUUUAGAGAAGUUUAUUAAACCUUAUCAAAAACACGACAGAAGACUGAGUAGAGAAAAUAUUACGGCACCAAGAGCAGAGGAUUUUCCCCACCAUGUGUUCAUCCACACAAUGGAGAUUUUGCCUUUUAACCCUUUGGCCCCUCUCAAACUUCUGCCCAUUGACUCCUCCUUCACUGCCCAGUGGUGGAGUUUACCUCCUCAAAUCCAGACUGGAGGUCAGAUGUCACCACAGUGACAAUAUCCCAAAAGCCAAAUAUCCCAAACCCAGGCCGUCCCCUGAGAACAACACAAGGGGGGUAAAACAUAACCAUAAAUCUGUAACACUUCUCUUAACCUGCACACAUUAUAUAUGUCUGCUAAUUCUCUGUUAAUUAAUCUGUCUGUUAAUUGCUGAGAGCCAACCAUGGCAUCCCUCAUUUGCCACACAGGUCACUGCACGUCAGGAUAUAUUCAUUCAUAAGAGAUAGACCAAUUUUUAUUUGAAAGUUCACUAUAAAGCAAUCUCCAAAUGCUUUACUGAAAUCACCUUCUACUAACAAGACAGAAAGCUCACAGAAAAAUGUUUUCACUGAAAUAUAAUGAUUAGGGAUAGAGUCUGUUGAGUAGCUUAUGUCGGAGUGGUGAGCUGCAAACUGGCCUGGUGACUGGGGUACCUCUGUCCCUUACUGGGGGGAUAUCGGGAGGGGAGGGGUAAACUAGAACAUGGUUUUAAGGUUGAUACAAUUGUGGACAUCCACACAAUUUAGAGAGAUCUGCAAGCAGGUGAUGCUCCUGCCAGCAGGUGAUGCUCCCAUCUGCAGCAGGCACCCAGGACAUGAGCAAAACCCCCCACUCAGGGCCUGCAAGCGUGCCCCCAUCACUGCAGGAGAUCUGCACCCCAAUUGCCUCUGUGUGGUUGUUCCCACAACCGAAGCCCUGGGUCGAAGACUCCGUUUCUCAAAAGUUUUGUCUGUCAUUUUCACGCUCAGUUUGGGGUUUCUAGUGGUUGGUUCUGUCUUGGGGGCUCUUUUUUUUUUUUUUUAGUUUUUGGCAUUAGGCAGGUAGAGGAGCACUGUGUUUGAGGCUGCCUGGUGCAGUGAACGCAGUGCCAGUGUGCAAACACAGUGAUGCAGCCCUUGCUGGGAGCUUUCUCCCCUCAGCAGACCCUGGCCCAGCCACCACGCACAGGUGAGACCUGUUGUGAUGCCCAUGCACAUCUCCUGCCCUCUGAUCUGCAGAGGUCAGAAAUGCUUACACACACCACGUCCUGGGGCACCUCUCAUUACAUCAUUUCAUCAUCCAUCACUCCCCUGCCACCGACACGUCUGUCUCCACGGCAGCCAGUGAGGCAAGAAGGAAUUACUGCAGCAGAGGUCAGCACAAACCCCAGCAGGUCUGAUGCAGCUCAUUUCGGACGCCUGGUGAGACACAGCCGUUGAUCUUUGGUGUUUAAGUGGCACUUUUCUAUUUUAGCUGCUGCGUUCACAGAGGCUGGCUCUGCCUCCCAGCAUGCCUCCCCCCUGAGCCAAGCUGGGCCCCCAAAACAAGGAUUAAUUACCUUUAUCAACCACAACCACAACUCCUUCCUGAGUGCUCAACAAGAAAGGAGGCCCUGCUAUUUCUCUCAGCCAUCAGGUACCCGUUGGGCCAAGAAAGCAGAACCGCAAGACCUCAGCGACACAAAAUCAACGUAAAAAAACCUGGAAAAUCACACACACAGGGCUCAGUUCUGCCCCAGCAGCCCUCCCUCGCCUGCUGCUCCUGACCAAGCCCUCAGAGCAGGAGACAAUGCUGCAGAAGUCAAAUGCAGUUGAUUAUCAAUCGUUUAUCAGCCAUCACCUGCACACAAACACCUGCAUGACAGAGGUGAUGCUGCGCGGGUGUGCCUGCUGGAGCCCCCCACUCCUCCACCACUUCUUCUCCACCAUUCUCUCAAGAGAGCUUUGCCCUGCACAAUUUCAGAUCUCCCCAGCAGAUUUAUUAGGAGGAAGGAUUUUUAAUAGCUCACUGAAAUUGCUCCGUGAGAGCCACGUUGAAGAGAGCAAGACUGGUGCAAAAAGGAGGUUGCAAUUUUCUUGUCACGCCUGAUCCUCCAUGAACGCACAGGGUUAAAAAUAAACUCUGGCUCUGGAGGACAGCAGAGACAUCCUGUCAAAGGUGUUGGGCACGAUCCCCACAGCUCCAGAGAAGAACACAAAAUCUUUGGCAUUUGCCGAAACUGGAGAAACAAGCCUUGUAAGGCAGAGGAAGUGAAAUCAGAGAGAAACAGAAACAGCCAUCCUAAAUUUCCAACAGGUGGGGCCCCGGCCUAGUCCUGAGACAUCAGAGCUGUAAAUGAGUUGUAAAUUUGUUGUAAAUGGAAAAUGUAGUUAUCGGCUUUCACAAUUAUGGGUUGGCUUUUGCAAGUUACAGUUGAUCACAAAUAUUCUGAUACAGUGCUGUUUGUAAUUCCUUUAAACUGCUUUUUGGUCUAGUGUGAUCUGUCAGCUUAUUUGUGCACUGCAUGGCUUAUAGAAAUAGUAGAGUGAUAAAUAUAUCUUAGGCCUUAGCAUAAUAUUAAAAUAGACACCAUGUAAUGUUGAAAUGCCUUUAUUUGUGUAACUAACUCAAACAAUCGUGUGAAACAGCUCUCACAUUUGUAGACCACAUUAUCUGAAUGAUAAGAUUACGGUGGCAGAAACCAGGACACCAAGGGGAAAAAUUUACUACUGACCCUCCAGUUAGCAAGCAGUGUCAAAACAACAGAAUGGAGCCUCGAGAGGAAAUAAAAUAUAUUGAUUUAAUCUACAGGACGGCAUGCAGACGAGUCAGAGGGUAAAACCAAGCAAAAGAUAUUCCUGGAAUAUCCAAAGUCACACAAAUGUUUGAAUAUGCAUAACUCUCAUCAAGAUGCAUUUCACCACUGUCAUGAGAAGUACACAGGAAAAUUGUUUCAAGCUCAUGGUGUGCUUCUGGCAUUUUGGCAAGCACUGGAUAUUGUCCCUUUUAUCCCAUAAUAAACUUUCAUUUAAAAUUUUUGAGUAGUGAAGCUUGCUCCUGACAGGAGAGACAACACCAGUAGGGGGGUGAGGUUCAGGAUCCAGCAUGGGAAUUGCCAGAACAGAGGCAAACACCCAGUUUGGGGUGGGGUGACCGAUUCCCCAGCAAUGCAGGGAGGCUGCUGAGUUUGAAAGAUUGCAAAGGGCACGCUGCGGUGCAAUGGAAACCUUGCAGUAACUCAAGAACUUGAAUCACACUAGUUCAAGCCUGCAGAAUAAUUAAUCAGAUAAUUUCUGUUGCUCAGACAUUAUAUCACGCUCAGAAACCUCAGAAGGCAAAAAAAUGGGCAAAAGUCACAGUUCCACAGCACCAUGAGCAAAAAGGAGAUAAUAUAAUUCAAAUUUUUUUCCAAUAGUUACAGCAUUUACCUCCUAAAACACAACCUUUCUUAAUUUUUUUAAAGAUGCAGUGGAGAUGAUCAGAUCUACAAAAAAAAUUUUAAAAAAAAUUUAAAAAAAAAAAACCACAAACAACUUCCAGAAGUAAAAUUCAAAAUGAUAAUAUAGCUCUUUUCAGAAUUGGCAGUUUAUAACACUUGCUAAAAAAACCUCAGCUGGUUCUGAGCUCAUGGCAAGCACCAAAAGAAACUGAAAUGGCUGGACUGACUUGGGGAAGCCUCUGCUUCUAUAAAUACUGAUCCUGUAGCUCAAACAGAAAAUCACACCGGGAUUGGUAAAUCAAAAAAAAAAAAAAAAUUGGAAGCUCAAUUGGAAGCAUAUGUUCCUACACAUUUAGUGCUAAAAAAACCCAUCCCUCAAUCAGUAAUGACUGGUACAGAGAAAGAACUGGGAAGAGGUGCUCCCCCAAAUCUCACGUUCCUGCGGGGACAGGCAGCUGCUGACCCACAGCCCCACCAGCACUGUUCUCCACCCUGCCCCAAAAAAAGGAAAAAAAACAGUGAAAAAAAUAAAAGAUCAAGUUUAAAAGUUAAAUCAAGGCAAAUGAAGAUAAAUGAAGCACAAUCAUGCAGUAAGUUGGGGACUGAGCUGCUGUUUCUGUGCUCAGAAUCUGCUUUCCUGCAGAUCUCCUGGUACGUCUGAGGAAUCAAUGCAACUCCAUCAACAAGGGAGACGAAAUGAAACGAGCAGCAGCGCUGGCUGUCAGGCAGGUGGGAGAAUGAAAUUCACAUUAAACUGUUGGAGUGCCUCAUCUGAACUUCAUUUGAGCGUUCUCACCCCCACCAGGAGCUGCUGGCCACCCCUGGCAGGUUUGAGGCUGGGGCUGGGGCUCACAUCGCUCUUACAGGACUCAGUCACAUUUCUGGUCUCCAGGCUCCGGGAUUUUGCACUUCCAAGUGAGGUCUAACCUGUGCUUCCAGCCGCUGACAUUUCACCUGUUGGCCCAGAGCAUUUCCCAGCAGCCCCACAAACCAGCCCCUGCCAAAUGUCGUUUGUCUUGGGAUCUAAUUAUCAUCCAAUAACUUAAUUAGGCGUUGCGCACUUCUGUUGGAGCACACUGUAAUAUUUCAGGACCUUACAAAGCCCUGCAGGGGAAAGCUGAGGACCUCAGUCCGUGCUUUCUAUCCAAUAAAACUUUGUCCCACCAAAAUCUGAUCUUAUUACCCCCACACACGCCCAGUUACAAACAACCCACCUGGUAACACCACAGAAGAAACACGCAUCUUGAAGAGUUGGGAGGAAAUGCCUAACUUUUGGCAAAUCUGCAAAUAAAUAUGGCUGUGAGCUUCUCCUGUCCUUCUCCUUAUUCACAAAAGGAGCUCACUGCUGAACAAACACAAAACGUUCAUCAAAGAGCAGAUCUCAGUCCCUGGACAGACCACAGGGGGGUUUUUGCUUGUUUGUUUGAUUGCUGGUUUGGGUUGGGUUCUUUUCCAUUUGUUUGUUUGGGGGUUUCAUUAAUUUUAUUUUUUUUUUUUUGUAUUUAUUUCCCACCUGUUGCCUCAGGUGACAGGGGAGGAUGUAAAUUCACUUUUCAUCUCUUCACGAGGAGGAAGGGGCAGCCCCUUGGAGGCACAGUGACAGUGGCUCCUGCUCUGCUGCCCCUCAAACACAGACCCAGAGGAGUCUGAAGGAUCUGGGGAAUGUGCCCACGAGCCCUGAUGUCCCUCCACAGGGACUGGGGGACAGGGACAACCUGGGAAAGUGACCAAGAGCAGGGGACCCCACAGCUGUCUUCACACAAUUUAGGGACUGUGUCAUGAGAAGAUCUUACAAAAACAUUAACCCCAAGAGCACUGAUAACCACAUUUUUUAAUUAACUCCUUCUGUUGAAGGUAAUCCAUUAAAAAAAAAAAAGUUUGGAGAAAACAAAACUUGGAGAAAAGAAAACAAAAAAGCACAACACAACUUUUUAUUUCUUCUCAGAUGAUGAGGAGAAAAACUCAUCUAUUAUUUUUUUAAUUUCUCCUGAAAAUUUUUGAAGCACGGUGGUCUCUGGCCUAUCUUUCACUGGAACACCAAGGGGAAUUCCCUGCCCACAUGAGAGCAGUGAGAUUUAUGGACAAUACAAAUCCUGAGGGUGCCAAAAAAACCCCCAGCACUCCUCAGCCAUCUGCAGCAUUAAACACGCACAGGAUGCUGAGCAACACUGGGGGGGUUGCCCAAAAAAAACUGAGUAACUUUCAAUUAAUUUCAUCUUCAUUAAAAAAUGCCCUUUAAGUGCUGUUGCUUUGUUAAACAUUAAAUUAGCUGAAGGUACAGCAAAGCUGUUGGUGGCAUGUGCCAAGCAGUAAGUGUAAAACAGAGAGGAUCCACAAAAAUCAGUGUCCUCUACAAAACCAGAGCUGCAGCAGGCAGGAAAAAAAAUUCAAAUGAUUGGAUUCUGUUAAUCUGUGGGGACACGGACCUAAUACUGCAUUUAAUUUUGCUAAGUGGGAGGAAGAUUAUUGCAGGCAAGAUACAAAGAAUAUCUCUGCCCCAAUCAUGUAACAUUUGCAACCUUAAAUACUCCGAGACAGCUAUUAAUGACAGUAUCAGAACAUUUCCAUGUAUUCAAUGCAUAGUUAUGAAAGAAGCUAAACACACAGGCCUCCUCCCAACGCGGACAAUAAUUGUAAUGUCAAUAUUUACAUUCCCCUGGUCACUUGUUUCCAGUAGUAUUUUUAAAAUAAGUGUUGGUGAACUUGCUGGGUAACAAGCGCCAGCCUUCUGUGAAGGUCUGCAAAAACGGAUGGUUUGGGGCAUUUUGCUUUACUUUUGAAAGAGACUGACCCCUUGCUGAGACAGAGCCAGCCAUUCUCUUUCCACAGGUUUUGAAAGAAAAGCAGAAAUGUGUUCUCAUCAAGACCAAACUUGCUGGGAGCUGCACCUGUUUACAGCCCUCGGUUCCCCUGGGAAGAAGCAGUUUAACUAAAACCAGGACCUAUCUGCCCGUGGUAUAUACGUGCCCUAAUUUGCUGAUUUGAAACCCAGCCUCUCCCACACUGCUGUUCUCCCAAUAAAUCCAUAUCCUCAUUUUUCGCCCUGAGAUGUGAAAUCAGAGUGUACAGCAACACCUGCUUGGCGCUCGGGAAAACUCCUCUAAAACCUGAGGGAGAUCAAAACCCUUUUCUCUAAAAAACAGGAAUUCCCCCUGCAGAUCAUUCAGGGCAUGCAGCACGCUCAAUGUGAUCACACAUUUCCAGGGCAUCAGUUGAUUCACUCUUUAUGCAGUCAUUAUCAAGACAGGUUCUGUGCUUUUAACAGGUUUUCCUUUGAAGCAAAUAUCCCUCUGAAAGGGGAAAAAAAACCCCAAAAUACCAAUAUGCUAAUGGAAAAGGCAAAAUAAGCACAUUCUGCCACGGGAAUUGUUUCUCAAGGCCUUAAUGGUGAAAAUAACAGAGCAAGUCUCAUGAAGGCAUUUGGGAUCUUGCUCAGAAUGGUGGUUCCUGUCCCACCUGAACGUCCCCAGCAGCCCCAGCAGGGUGGAACGUGUCCCUGGGAGAUGGACACCACACCUGGACACAUCUGGCAGCCAAAAUUCCGCGUCCUGAGCAGGACAGCACAGCCCAGCACUCGUCCCACUCAGAUCUGGCAAUUUACAGAGUUUCAGCUGGCACAUGACCCGACAGCCAAUGCCCAAACAACUGGAAACCAACCCUGAAAGGAUCUGCAAGGUAAGGAAAACGAAAUCUGUUUGUCCAACAAGCAUUUUCCAUAAUCUUUAUUAUGUAACUCGGACAAAACACGUUGCUUUUUCAAAUAUCCACUCAAGGUUUACUGGUGAAGCUCUCUGGUGUGAUUAAUUCCACUUUCUCUCCCUCAUCUGUGUAAUUCUAUAGCACAUAUCACUCCAAUGUCUAAGUUACUCAGGUAAAUAAAACCCAAACUAAAGCAGAAAACUUUUGUAUUUUGUCCCUCCUUUGGAGAAUAGAGAUCUGAUUCUUCAAAAACUGCCACAGAGCUUUUUUCUUUUCCAUUCCAUUAAUACAUUGGUGUGGUGAAAUCAAAGCAAAUUAAAUCUGCGCAGUAUUUUUUCACUGCCAGGAGUUAGCAUGUGCAAUAUCGACUUUUCAUUAUCAUCUGAUUAAAGUUUGCCUGCCUCUGUUAAUAAACUGAAGGUUCGUGGCUCAUUGCUUUACACCUUUAAGAAUGCGAGCAAGUUUUCUAAAUGAAAGAGACUGCUUAAUUUUCAAACCUUUUUUUUUAUCUUUUUUUCUUGCAAUGGAUCGGUUUUGGCCACUGAGGGAAUUUCCUGUACACCUUAGCAAAGGUUUGUGUCUGCGUGUGUGUGUGUACAAGCACCUGUAAAAGCUACUAACACCCAAAAGCUUUGAAUACAGCUGGGGAUCAACCAAAAGGCGACCAGAAAAGGAUGUUUCCUGAUGAUAUCUCUUGAAAAUUCAAACUAGCAUCCCAUGAAAAAAAAAGAAAAAAAAAAAAAAUUUCUUCUGCCUCUUGAAUAGCAGUCUGCUAUUCUUGAGAGCACCAACAUAGCCGAUGUCUGAAGCCAUAAAAGCUCAGCUUCCUGCCCUGUAAUUAUUACUAGAUGUAAUUAUGAGCAACUCAUUCAUCACUAUAAAAGCACAACUUAAGGCUCCCAGAGAACAGACAUGGAAGGGAUUUGUUUUCAGGCAGCUCUCUCAGUCAGGCUGUAAUUUAACAACACCGCUGAUAAACAAGCGUAGUAAGCCAAUGUAAAGGAGGCAGGGCAACAUCCAUGUUUAAUAUCAUCUGGGGAUCCUCCAGCGCUCCAUUUGUAACGCUACGGAAGCGUGCCUCAGAGCAGUAAGCGGGGAUUGGAGGGCGAAUAUGACAUAACUGCAACCAUCCCAGCUCCCCCAAAGUUUGUUGGCUUCACCACGAGACACCCGGAGGCUGCCGGAGCACGCCGGGAUUAUUUACAGGUGGGGGAAAAAAAAAAAAAAAAGCACGAACAUAACACGAAUCUCUGAGCUCUCCUUGCAAAGUUACGGCUGCAGAGGUGUGCUGGGUUUCAGGACCAGCGGCUGCGGUCCCUGUCGCUCUCUCACAGGCGUCAGGAAACACCUGCAGCCACCCAAACUUCCCCAAACCCGUCCGGCGCGGCAGAAAGGCACCGGGGCACGCCAGCACCAGCCUCGAGCACCUUUCAGACAAGAUCAGCGAUUCGCAUGAGGCAACAGGAGGCGUGUGGGGGAUUCAUUUAUAAAAACACAUUCCCAAGUGUUGCCAGGAUGGCUCCAGAGUGGAAAGUUGUGGUCCUGUACCAGCAGAGAUAAUUUGACCCAAUCAGGCUACAUUUAACCUGAAAUUUCCUUUGGGAGCUCGUCCAGUGCAAGGUGUUCAAAGAUGCCACAAGCAGGGAAAUACAUUGAGCUGUGUUCCACGGCAGUGGAAUUGCUGAGUCCCACACCCAGGAGUGCCCCUGGGAAUCUGGGGGGCAGUGAGUUGCCAAUCCUCUGGGUGACAAAAAAAAAAAAAAAAAAGAAAAAAAAAAAAAGUAGAAAAUCUAGUUUAAAAAUCAUGUACAAUGUAGGCCUCUAUCCUAAAAAACACUUCGGGAAAAGUACUGUUAAUGUAAAGGUAAUAAAAAUUGGCUAAAGCAAUGGAAAA
Motacilla alba alba is the source of this 9839-nucleotide long non-coding RNA. RefSeq lists it as uncharacterized. Lineage: Eukaryota; Metazoa; Chordata; Aves; Passeriformes; Motacillidae. The transcript is spliced from 2 exons. The record is from RefSeq and is a predicted model, not a curated record.